UACGUAGGGUGCAAGCGUUAAUCGGAAUUACUGGGCGUAAAGCGUGCGCAGGUGGUUCUAUAAGACAGAUGUGAAAUCCCCGGGCUCAACCUGGGAACUGCAUUUGUGACUGUAGAGCUGGAGUGCGGCAGAGGGGGAUGGAAUUCCGCGUGUAGCAGUGAAAUGCGUAGAUAUGCGGAGGAACACCGAUGGCGAAGGCAAUCCCCUGGGCCUGCACUGACGCUCAUGCACGAAAGCGUGGGGAGCAAACAGG
Molecule: ribosomal RNA, 253 nt
Filed under: uncultured bacterium
Lineage: Bacteria
Description: partial 16S ribosomal RNA
Rfam family: Bacterial small subunit ribosomal RNA
Source: RNAcentral